UGGGGAAUAUUGCACAAUGGGCGAAAGCCUGAUGCAGCAACGCCGCGUGAAGGAAGAAGGAUUUCGGUUCGUAAACUUCUAUCGAUGGGGAAGAAAUUUUGACGGUACCCAAGUAAGAAGCCCCGGCUAACUACGUGCCAGCAGCCGCGGUAAUACGUAGGGGGCAAGCGUUAUUCGGAUUUAUUGGGUGUAAAGGGUGAGUAGGCGGUUUAUUAGGUCGAAUGUGAAAUGCUAUUGCUUAACAAUGGCACUGCAUUCGAAACCGGUAGACUUGAGUACAGGAGAGGUAAGCGGAAUUCCUAGUGUAGCGGUGAAAUGCGUAGAUAUUAGGAAGAACACCGGUGGCGAAGGCGGCUUACUGGACUGAAACUGACGCUGAAUCACGAAAGCGUGGGGAGCAAACA
RNAcentral lists this ribosomal RNA (404 nucleotides) under uncultured Lachnospiraceae bacterium. Its description in RNAcentral is "partial 16S ribosomal RNA". It matches the Rfam family "Bacterial small subunit ribosomal RNA", at positions 355 to 774 of the family's 1533-position model. Lineage: Bacteria; Bacillati; Bacillota; Clostridia; Lachnospirales; Lachnospiraceae. The record is from RNAcentral.